UUUUUUUUUUUUUUUUUUUUUUUUUUUUAGAUUUUAUUUUUAGGUAAUCUCUACCCCAACCUGGGGCUUGAAUUUACAACCAGGAGAUCAAGAGUUGCAUGCGCUGUGGACUGAGCCAGACAGGCAACCCUGAAUAUUUUAAUUAUUCUGAAAGCAUAUAAAAUUAGAAACUUUGAUUAAAAGUUUUCAUUAUAAACUGUAAACCUUUCUGGCAGGAAUCUUGUAACUAGUGCCUUAAAAUUGUUUAAUAUUUAAUGAAUUUUUAAAAAUAAAACACUGAUGACUGAGUAUGGUACCAAGGAACCUAGGUUCCAGUGCCUUUUCCUGUGCAUAUAGUCCUAGAUGGGUCACUUAAUCUUAGCUUCACUUUCUAAAUCUCUGUGGCACUUUCAGGCACUUCAAAGAUCCACAGAGAUUAUGCAUAAUUUUAAUAAAUGAAAAUAUUUAUGUAUGGUAGAGUUUUGUUCCUAAUUAACAAAAAAAUAGGUAUUUACUUAUAUUUUGGUCUGUAGUGUUGAUCAGGAUGUGUUUUAUAUAUCGCAACCAUAAAGUUACUAGCUUUGCCUGUAACAUUGUGUAACUUGUCCUGUGCCUGGAAUGUCCUUGAAGGUUGAGUCACUGUUUGCAUUUACAUAAUGCCUCCCAGGUUACCAGAGAGUUUCAUGCUAAAAAACUCAGCUACCUGCUUCUCAGUAAGCUACAUUUUCAGCUGCCCUUUCUUGGCUUCUUUAGCUGAAGUUCAGGCCAUAUUGCUGUUUGGUUUUUCAUUCAGGAACUCUUUUUCUGCUUUCUCUCUGCCAGGAACUGACCCAAACUACAUAUUUGUUUUGUGCCGUUUUGCUAUGUAAUGGUGAUUGAUUUCUUACUGUUGGCUAAUUUCUCUGGGAUCUUGUUGAUAGUGAUCUUCAACAAUCACUCGUUACAAAUCUUUUCCCAAGAAAUAAUCUGUAUGAGAUCAGUUACAUGAAAUGAGGUAUCCAUGUCAAAUCCACAAAAUGUGAUUAUGCCUUAGGCCCUAUGAUCUGGACCAGAGCCUAGCAAUGUAGGUGGUCACCUGAAGUUUAUUGAUUUUCUAUUUUUUUUUAAUCUUGGCCCACCAAAAUUUCAUUUCUCAAUACAGAUCCAGAGUCAAGAAAUCCAACAAUGACUUUGAAAUGCUUAUCUUCAAUGAGCUUCAUUCAUUCGGCAUAUUUGUUAAGCAAUCUGCCGGGCACUGCAAUAAACUUUUCAAAUGAAAGUAAUGCUUCUCUCAAAAAGCCUAUACAUUAUUUAUUUAAUUUUCAGACUGAUUAUAACCCUAAUGCUGUGAUUACAGCCACUGCAUAGUUAUGUUUUUCAUACAUACACAUACAUACAUACUAGAGUAUAAAUACUGGGAUAUUAGGUGUUUUGAAUAAUAUUCUUUGUAGUUUUGUUUUUUUUUUAUUUAAACUGGAAUACACCACCCUAGUCAGUGAGUUGAAUUUUAUCUGCAGAUUCAAAAAUAUUUUCAAAAAAGACAUGUAGAGUUCUUGCUCAGUACCCAUCGUGGAGGAGAAGGAGCUUCCUUUCAUGAUGCCAAAGACUGAAACACAAAUUGUGGAUUUCUCUGUCAAUAUACCAGCUUUAUUUCAUGUUACAUAUACUUGUAUUGAAGUAUAACUUACAUGCAUUAAAAUGCUUGCACUGUAAGUGUACAGUUAGAUGAAUCUUAACCACUACUCAGAUCGAAAUUUCGAGAACUUCCGUCAUCCCAGGAAGUUCCCUCUUGCUCUUAUUAGACAAUAUUCUAUGAAACCCAAGCAAUCAUCGAUCUCGUUCUUAUCAUCAUAGCCUAGCAGGUUUUCCCUAUUCUAGAUGUUAUGCGACUGGAAUGAUAUACUCUCUACACUUCUGUAACUGAUUUUUUUCAUUCUGCAUGUUUAUCUUUAAUUUAUCCAUUGUGUCAUGUGUAUGCAUUAGUAGUUUGUUCUUUUCACUGCUGAGUAGUGUUCUAUUGUGUGGAAAUGCCACAAAUUCUUUCUCAAUUCACAUGCAUGUUGAUGGAUAUUCGGAUGAUUUUUAUUACUUGCUUCUAUACAUAUUUAAACGAAAGUAUUUCUGUGGACAUGUGUUAUCAUAUCAAGUUUGAUUUUUAAUACGUAAAAUAAAAACUUAAAAAAAAGCAAUAGAGUGUCUGAAAUGAGUAUUUCAGAUACUUAGCAUCUGAAUAACUGGAUAUAGGCCUAGUUGGGCACUGCAUUAAUGCACUAAUUUGGCAAAGACACAAAUCGGUUUAAACUCUACUUUCUUCAUAAGUAGUAAAAAUUUGAUUUGGUUAUUAAGAAGGGUCAACCAGACAAUGUGAAUGGAAUUGCUUUCUAAAUUAGAAAGCUUAACAGAAAUGAAAGAUGGUAUUAUCAUAUGUAAAAUAUGUACAUAUUUAGGAAAUAAUCCCUCCAAAAUAAAAUAACUAAGUAAAACAAACUGAUUUGAUAUCAUUUGAAUUAUGAGAACACUCAAUGUAAAAUUAAUUAAGAUUUGAUAUUUAAGUGUAUCUCCUUAAUAAUUUUUUAAAGAACAAAUCAGAUGAUUGUAAAAUCCAGAAACAGUUUGAUAGAGGUGCCUAGGUGGCUCAGUUGGUUUAACGUCUGCCUCGGGCUCAGGUCCUGAUCACAAGGUCCUGGGACUGAGCCCAGAUAUCAGUCUCCCUGCUCUGCAGGGAGUCUGCUUCUCCCUCUGCCCCUCCCCUUCCCCUGCUCAAGCUCGCUC
This 2730-nucleotide long non-coding RNA is filed under the name Canis lupus familiaris (dog). Its description in RNAcentral is "lncRNA (ENSCAFG00845007560.1)". Lineage: Eukaryota; Metazoa; Chordata; Mammalia; Carnivora; Canidae. The record is from RNAcentral.